CAGAAAUCGAGUAUUAAAAGGAAGAAAAGGGAUGUCCUGGUCCCUGUAGCUAACAGAGUAUUCACGCUGUCCAGGAAGCCCAACAUCCCAGGGUGCUGGCUUCUCUCUUAGGACACCUGAGACAAGAGAUUGGAUCGUGUGAACUUCUUGUUCCAACAGCAGGGCUUGGCUUUGGCUUCUUUGCCGUGGACCAGGCAGAAGUCCACUGUGCGGGCUUCUCUUCUCCUGGAACUCCAGCAAGGGCAUGGAGAGAAGGCAGCUGGAAUGACGGCACCUGCCAGGCCCACGGAACUCAGGGUCCCUGCAAAUUUGGACCCCCAGCUUUGCAUCCUUCUUUUUUCUUCAAGUCUCCACUAGAAUUAGAUGGAACCUUACCUCAUUGCUGGCUCACCUGGUGAAGACUGGUGGUAUUCUGAUUGAGUGAGCCAGGGACUGUCGGGAAGCUGGGGUCUGAAUCCCAGCCCUACCCCUGCGCAGCUCUGUGACUCUGGGCUAGGCAUUGCCUUCUCUGUGCUUCUCCACUUGUGGAGGGGGCUAUCUCAUGCCCAGGCUUCAGGCUAUCAUAGAGCGUUCACCCCACAGGUUUUAGCUUAUGGUUCAAGGACACUGUAUUGGAACCCUGUCCAAGAUGCAGGACCGGGUGAAGAACUGAAGGGGCAUUUGAGACUGAUUGGGUGGGUUCUGUGCCUAGAUCCCCAGGCAAUUGCCAUGGGGAUCUGUCACUAAUAAAUGAAGCAUGUGGUUAUGAGUGUGUGACAGAGUGGGAAGAUGGGGGGAGAAGUGGGCCCCGCAUGAUAUGGAGCCGUGGGUGUCAGCUCCUGCAGUGGAUUUAACUGGUGUGAGGCGGAAGAUGGAAGGUGAACUAGGGUCACCCGUGAAGAACAGCUUCCCAGAGACCGUUCUCAACCCAAUCCCCUGCUCAGUCGGAGACUCUAAGAAGCAAAGGAAGGGUCUCCCGUACUCUCAGUGCAAGCAAACGCACUUACUGUCAGGGACCAUUUGCUUCCUGAAACUGCUCCAGAGCCAGCCAAUAGCACGCAGUCCUCCUCUUAAUUCUGGGGUAACCAGCAGUUCAUCCUCCCUCCCCAGCCUUCCUCGGAAGGCCCCUUCCCUUCUCCCUUCCCUCUUCCAUGGUCAUCUCGCUGUGAUUCCUGAUGUAUAGUACCCAGAGGCCGAUUGAGAAAUCCUCACAUUUGUAAAUUCAAAGGCCAUUGGGAGGUCAUGCCUGCCACGUCCCUGACAAGCACUUCAUCUACCAAAUGAAGUCGGGUUAGAACAUGUCCCCCUGGGAGAGUUGACGGGUUGUGCUGUGAUGUGGAAGGCCGAGGAGGGCACCAGAGCCGUCACAUCACGAGGCAGAAGUCAUUGUCCGUGGGUGCCAAGGCCCCCGGGCCUCUUCUGGCCUGCACGGCCCUGCCCGGACGGCCGGUUGAGAGAUGGGGCUUUGCUGCCUUUUAAGACACACGUCCAACGUCAGGUUGGCCGUCUUAGCCAUUUUAAGUGUGCAGUGGUGCCCGAGGGUUAUAAAUCCGUCACCACCAUCUCUCUCCGGAACUCUCUUCUUGCACAACUGAACCUCUGUACCCAACAGAUGCCCCAUCCGCUGCCCCCACCUGUGGCAGCCACUGCUCUACUUUCCAUCUCCUAGACUUUCCACUCGAGGGACCUCACCUAGGUGGACUCAUAUGGUGCUUGUCUGUUGCUGUUCUGGUUUCGUGUUUUGUUUUUGAAAUGGAAAUAUUUUUGCUGAUCUCGGUAAUUAAAAAAGGAACACACAGGUGUUGUUCUUAUAAACACUCAAACAGCACAGAGGGAUGCAGAGCAGAAGGUUGACGGCCCGACUCUCGUGCUCUCGGCACACUCCCCUCCACCUGCUUGUUCGAGGAACAAGUUACGUCCAUCCUGUCCCUUUUCUCCUAAAGUGUCAGCGUGCGUUUGCUGGGUACGGUGUCGCCAUUCUGCACCACAGUCACGGCUUCGUCGUCCUCCCUUCUCCCCGUGUUCUAGUGGUGUGUGUGGGAGUCCAGGUUGGUGGUGCCUUCCCUUGUCGAGUCUCCAGCCUCUUACCUCUGGAGCCCGUCCCCGCCCUGGCGUCUCUCUCUCUCUGGAUUGGUUUCCCUUUGUGCUGGGGAGAGAGCACAGGGCCCUGCAUACGCAUCACGUGCUAAGGUGACCUGUGCCCCAGCCCCAGUGCUGACUGUUUUGAAAACUGCAGACCCCCCGCUCCUUUGUGCCGUGAGGCCUGACGUUUCCUGUGAUUAGACUGUGGUCCUGCAUGCUUGGCUGGAGCGAUGCCCGUGUC
RNAcentral lists this long non-coding RNA (2302 nucleotides) under Marmota monax (woodchuck). Lineage: Eukaryota; Metazoa; Chordata; Mammalia; Rodentia; Sciuridae. The record is from RNAcentral.